Molecule: transfer RNA, 88 nt
Filed under: bacterium
Lineage: Bacteria
Description: tRNA-Tyr
Rfam family: tRNA
About the family: Transfer RNA (tRNA) molecules are approximately 80 nucleotides in length. Their secondary structure includes four short double-helical elements and three loops (D, anti-codon, and T loops).
Source: RNAcentral
GCCGGGGUGGCAGAGCGGUCAAAUGCACCUGUCUGUAAAACAGGCGCCCUUGUUGGCUACAUAGGUUCGAAUCCUAUCCCCGGCACCA